Long non-coding RNA from Otolemur garnettii (small-eared galago), 5143 nucleotides. RefSeq lists it as uncharacterized. The record is from RefSeq and is a predicted model, not a curated record. Lineage: Eukaryota; Metazoa; Chordata; Mammalia; Primates; Galagidae. The transcript has 3 exons.
UUUCUUCCCAGCAUGCCCUGCCCGAGGCCAGCGCACCCUGCCCUCUUCCCUGACCUGCCCACCAACCUCCCGGAGCAGCGUUAGAUGACAUUUUUCUUCCCCUGAAUGUUUAGGUCAAGCCAGCUUUACGGCUGCAGACUGGAUGACUAGACACAGCCUUUGGGGCAGGGUGGCUGUCCCUGAAUAACACUCUGGUCAUUCUCCCUGGUACUGUCCCUUCCUGCUGUUUUCUGAGCUGUCUUUCCCUAGAAUGUCACGUUUCUGCUUAUUGCCUGCCAGGAAGACGUCACCCAGGGUGUGUGCUCCCCGCUGCUUCCUUUCUGCAGGCACCUACUCAGCCCGGCAGCAAUGUUUUUAAAGCAUGUGCUGGACACAGAACUGGAGGGGAUGCGGAGCUGACGGAGAGAGCACCAGCUCACAGCCUCGGAUUACCUGGUAUCCUUGAUAAGUGGGAGCUCCUGCCUUCUGAGGAUACUUGGCCCCAUUACAGUCCAGACACAGUCCAGACACAGUCCUCACGGUAAGCCAGACAGCUCCUGAGUUCCUGUUCUCCUCAGGGGCACACCCCACCUGAAGGAGGAGGAGCCUUCUAGUGGCCUCGACCCCAUGAUGGUAGAGGCAUGUGGUACACUCCAGGGGCCAGGGUGGAACCCCAGAGAACCUGGUGAGUGUCUGGCCAUGCCCUCUCCUGUUGCCCCACCCCUGCACCCCCAAAGGCAGAGGGGGUCUUGGAUUAGCCCUUCCCUGGCCUCCUGACACUGCCUUACCACAUAGUCACAGCAGGCUGGAAACCAGGCCCCCAGAGGUACAGGACCCCUGCUCAGGAGCCCCCAGCCCACCCUUAGCACUCUUAGUCCUGAGCUGCGACCCAGGAGGGGGCCGAAGGGGUGGGAAAAACCAUGGACAGCCCUUGAGGUGUGGGACACUCACACUCACCUGGUCUGGGGGUACCUGUACUGUCACUACACGGCCUGCUGACCCUCCAGGGCCCUCCUGCCUUUUCCUCCCCCUUGGGACCCUGAGUACGGGAUCUGCUGGUCAAUAGGCUCUCACUGCAGAGACUUGAGACAGGCCGUUCCCCAGGCAGUCAACCAGGAGCAGAAGGCCCUCAUUGCCCAGACCAGGAAAAACGGAAAGGCCACUCUUUCCCUUCGGGAUUCUUUUCCAAAAGUACAUGACUCUUCACAGUUGUUCACCAGAGGCCAUGAUGGACUAAGAACGCAGCUUGAGGCAAGGAGGGUGUUAGCAGAGCGCUCAUUGAGCAUGGGGGAAGCCAAGUGCAUCAGCAGUCCACCUAGAAACCACUGCUAUGAAGAGAAACUGACAGUGGCCCAGAGCCCAAACCCACAGGCUGAGCUUCUGACACAAAUGAUGAAGGUUGAACCCUGCUGAGGGGGCUACAGCCCCGGGGACCCACUAGCAGAGGCUGAGUCAGAAAGCAAAAGGCCAGCUUGGUCUGCCCAGUUCACUCCUAUUCUGAAUUAACUAAGGACAAAGUCCAAGUUGCCAAUCAGGUGAGUAGUGAGCCCAGGGCUGAGCUACGGCCACCGGGCCUGCUGGGAGCCCUGCACAGAGUGGACGCACUGGGCAGCAACUCCCACCCUGUGAGUUCUGCAAACUGCCGUGUUCUCCCUCCACAUUUCGUGUUUUUCUUCCUGGCUGGUCCUCUUUCCUGCAUGAAUAAGGCUCUUAUGCUGCAUUUCUGCUUCAAAAGGAACAAAAAAAAAAAACAGUUUUACUAAGUUUCACUCCCAGCUUCCCUGGCGGUGAAUGCAGGGCACUCACCAUCCAGCGGAUCACUCAACAGUCACCAUUCACUCUGUCCACCUCUGCUCUGCUUCAGGAGGCCAGUAGGUGCCCAGUGCAGCCCAGGGAGAAAGCUACUUAAGAGUGGUUAAUCAGCAGGUGACCCACUGCCAGAAAUUACCCACUGCAUUCAUACCGAAACCCAGUCAGCCGUCCCCUCAGCGUCUGGUGGGACCGCAAGCUUUGACGGUGGUGUUCCCCAUGGGAGGCCCAGAUCCCCAAGGGUUGGGUUACAUUCCAGUGAAUGGUGCGUGUAGCGGACACUACAGGUUAGGAGAUAAAGCAAACAAUAGAACCAGAUGAAUCUGAACCAUAUCAGAUUUUUCAGGAAAAAGUAGUGGAAGAAUUUCAGAGACUGGAUUCUAACUGAAUAGGAAAAGGACUUAGGAAGUGGCAAGGCUGCCUCUCGUCCCCUUCAUGUCCCCAUUACUCCCGUGUGCAUGUGGUCACCCUCCUUCAGCACCUUACAGGUGUCAGGACGGCAGGAGCAACAGUGCCCGGGCAGAGGGUUCACUCUGCAUAGGGCCACUGCUGCCGGCUAGAGGAAAUGGACGGCUUACAAGACAUUUACAAAACUGAAUCAAAAGUAAUCACAAUAUUCAUUAAAUUUCACUCCUGGCUCUGACUUAGGGGCUUUCCUUAGAAUAUGUCAUUCAGUCCUAAUAAGGUGGGCAGUUAUAUUGGACCAAGCACGUUGCAGGGGUAAGGUGCAGAGAGGUACCAUGGCAAGACCUGGUGUCCGGUCAUCAAUGGGGCUAAAUUCAAGUCCAGGGCAGCCUGGAACCUACACCUCUGUUCUUAACCUACACAGCCUGAUAAGGGCUGUUUUCCAUUCAUUUAUUCACUUGAGUGAGGUGGGUGGUGCUCCGGUGUGUGGGGGUACAAGAAAGACCGUGCCCCUGUCCCCAGUCUGCCUUCAGUUAGGACCAGAAGAAAGCCCAGGGAGAUGAGAACAUGCUGGAAGGGUCCAGUGGCUCCCUCACCAGAACCCCGUGAACUCUCGGGGUGUUUGUCAAGCACCACCUUGGUGGCUCUGCUGGGAUCUGGUGGAGAGAUUUCCCACCACUCACAAUGAGAGUUAUCUAUUUAGAAGCAGCUGCCAUUCAGGAAAAGUUCCUUUUGUGUGUGUGAAGGUGAAAUCUCCCUGCAAUGUCUGCUUCUUGGUUCUCACAAGAUCUGCCCUCCGGCUCCCCCACCAGCUGACACUGCUCCUUCUUUCAUAGUUAACUCUGGAAUCAGCUCUGAGAUUCCCUGCACGUCCUUUCUCUAUCUUCUCCAAGCUAAACAUCAGAAGUCCCUUAUGUCUGUUUUCUGAGAGGUGGGAGCAGAAUCCUUAUCCACCCAGCCAUCCCAGAGGAUGAGCUGGAGGUCAGAGAGGUACAGUGAGGUCUGACCUGGGUCCUGCUGAGCUUCAGGGCGGUGGCCCUUGGUCACACUUGCUCUCCACCAUUGUCCUGGGGAGCCUCACACAUCAGGCAGCAGCUUUGGAGAACCUCCAUUCACGAAGGUGACAAGGACUGUGCAGCGCUCCUGGCACUGCGGUUGCUGCGGUAGGCUCGACCUGCACACUACAUGCAGAAGGCUGUCUUGCAUCAGCAUUAAUCAGCAUCUUUAAUGCUUGGUCCACAGGGAGCGCCCAGCAUGAGCUGGUCGGGUGGACCCAGCUGACCUCUCCGCACCCAUCAGCUUCACUUUGCUGUUCUUUGCCUGCAUAAAUAUUUAUCUUUGAUGUUUCUGCUGGAGCAGGAACUGCAGUGCUGUGAGCUGUGUCUUCACUUCUCCUCGGCUUUCUCUGGGCUGGAAAUAAGCCAGGGAAGAGUGAAGAAGAGCUGGACAGGGAGUCGGAGGUCUGAGGAAUAAUCCCAACGGUGCUGCCAGGCAGAACCUCCAUGGACCCCAGUGUGGGGCCUCCCUGCAGAGCGGACUCUCUUAACCAGCGGGCAUGCAGGACCCUUCUUGUCAUGUAACCUUCUGAAGCAGAGUGAGCACUCCAUCUCAGCUGCUAUGGUCUCACCUUUUGACUACUCGGUGGCAACAUCUAAAUGUUUAUCAUGGUGAAACAGCAUGACAGGUAGCUAAUGUAGCCCCAGACGAAGCCCACACAAUGCCCCAGGAAACCUCUCAGGUCCCCUGUCCCCUUCAGGGAAACCAGGCUGGUUUGGAGCAAAAGCCUUAAUCUGGCUUUUCCUGGCACACACCUUUUUCUCCUGUAUCCUGGCAUACACCCCUUGGCUGCCAAGUAGGCCCUCUGGGUCCCCAUGGUUCCUCUAAACCAUCCACACGCACACUGUGCUCACAGCCACCCAGCUCCUUCCUGGGGCACCAGCCACGGCCACAGAGGACAGGUGUGCUAACGUGGAGGGGAACACAGAGCCAGGGUCGGGGCAGAGAGAAAGAAAGCAGGUGUGCUCAGCAGAGGGGAGCACAGAGCCAGGGUCAGGACAGAGAGACAGAGAGCAGGUGUGCUCAGCAGAGGGGAGCACAGAGCCGGGAUCAGGACAGAGAGACAGAGAGCAGGUGUGCUCAGCAGAGGGGAGCACAGAGCCGGGAUCAGGACAGAGAGACAGAGAGCAGGUGUGCUCAGCAGAGGGGAGCACAGAGCUGGGGUCACGAUUAUUGCGCAGAUGCAUCGGCUUUGCAGAACAGCCACAAAUGAGUCUGCAGGGCAGUGACAUGCCGCUGGUCCUUCCAGAGCUCAAGGAUUUGCUGGUGUCCCUCUGCAGUGCCCUGUCCUCAAACUGUGUUGGAGUCAUCCCCCAUUCUGUGUGCAGGUGCCCAGCCUCGGGGACGGAGCUGAGCGGGACAAGAUGCUCUGCUGUAGCCCCUUCCCACCCUGUGGACCUGGCGGCCUAUUUUUGCUCAGCCUGGGCUUUUUUACUUUUAAGCAGAAAUUCUGCUAUGAGAAUCUGUUUCCUCGGGGUCUAAGAGAAUGGCCAGGCUGGCGAUGGCGGAGUCUCUAUGGGGAAGUCUGGGCUGAUGAUGAAAAGAAAUGGAGACGUGGACCUGCCAGACUUGGGAUUUUAAAAUUGCAUCUAAAUGUCAUUUGUCACAUUGUCAGGAUGUGGCCAAUACACUAAAGAAAUUUGUCAAGUAUUUAAACUGUGUGGACGCUGCAGCAGGCAGGCUAUGGCCAGGCCCUGCAACAAGCCUGGCCCCCAUUUGCCCUGGGCCCCACCAAGGGCGCCACCUCCAUCUUAUGGAAUAGUGUCUUAUCUUUUCUUUACUGACAACUCAGCAAAUGUGACUUUUUCUAUGGCAUUCAGCAGAAUUUUCCUUAAAGCAAAGAAAUUCUAAUCCAAGUCAGAAAAUCUGCUUAUUAUAAGUUUGAUAAGCCAAA